Molecule: unclassified non-coding RNA, 1467 nt
Filed under: Hevea brasiliensis (rubber tree)
Lineage: Eukaryota; Viridiplantae; Streptophyta; Magnoliopsida; Malpighiales; Euphorbiaceae
Source: RNAcentral
GUGAGCUUGAAGGGGCAUUUGUUCUUGGUGGAUAGAGAGGGAAUAAAGCCUGAGUACAUCCGUCUUCAACCCAAUGGCUUCCGCUUCUAUCGUCAAUACCCUGAUUUCCCCUCUCACCUCCUCCGGCUCCAAAUCACGAGUCCUCGUCUUGAAUUCUCCGCCCAAUCCUCUGGUACGCCUUCCAUCUCUUAACUCGAAGAAGAGCAAUUUGUAUGGGACACUCUCUGUUACUUGCAAGGCGGUAUCAGUUAAGCCACAGACUGAGAUUGAAGACCUUAACAUCGCUUCAGAUGUCACUCAGCUGGUAGGUAAGACUCCCAUGGUCUACCUGAACAAUAUCGUCAAGGGGUGUGUGGCAAACGUUGCUGCUAAGCUUGAAAUGAUGGAACCAUGUUGUAGUGUCAAGGACAGGAUCGGAUAUAGUAUGAUUACUGAUGCUGAGCAGAAAGGGCUUAUUACACCAGGAAAGAGUACUUUGGUUGAACCUACCAGUGGAAACACGGGAAUUGGUCUUGCAUUUAUUGCUGCUUCAAAGGGAUACAAACUAAUAUUGGCAAUGCCAGCUUCGAUGAGUUUGGAGAGGAGAGUUCUUUUAAAAGCAUUUGGAGCCGAAGUUGUAUUAACGAAUCCAGCAAAAGGCAUGAAGGGAGCAGUUGAGAAAGCUGAAGAGAUUUUAAAAAAGACACCUAAUGCUUAUAUGCUUCAUCAAUUUGACAAUCCUGCUAACCCUAAGGUACACUAUGAUACAACCGGUCCAGAGAUAUGGGAAGACACUAAUGGCAAGUUGGAUAUUUUAGUUGCAGGAAUUGGAACAGGUGGCACAAUUUCUGGUGUAGGCCGGUUUUUGAAAGAGAAAAAUCCAAAUAUUAAGGUUAUUGGUAUUGAACCUACUGCAAGUAACGUAAUUAAUGGAGGAAAGCCUGGACCUCAUAAAAUUCAAGGAAUUGGAGCUGGUUUUAUACCCAAUAAUUUGGACGAAAGUGUAGUUGAUGAAGUCAUCGAGAUAUCCGAUGAAGAAGCUAUUGAGACGGCAAAACAAUUGGCAAUGCAGGAAGGCUUACUGGUGGGCAUUUCUUCUGGAGCAACAGCAGCUGCUGCAUUGAAAGUGGCAAAAAGACCUGAGAAUGCUGGAAAGCUUAUUGCGGUUAUAUUCGCCAGCUUUGGCGAACGAUACCUAUCCUCGGUCCUUUUCCAUUCAAUCCGAGAAGAAUGUGAAAACAUGCAACAUGAGCCAUGAAGUACAUUAUUUGUUUUAAUGGUCAUGGGCAUAGUUAUUUGGUGUUUACGUACGUUGUGAAGUGUUGUUUUAAAAGGUAGGCUUGCUUUUGGUGCAACUUGAAUAUUGUGUUAUUCUUGUUGGAGAGAACAGUCCUCUCAAAUUGACUGCAGUCUAUGCAUCCAACAUUUUGGUCUUCCUUGUUUCUUGAGUUAACAUUUUGUAAAUUGAACCUUUAUUUUUAAAUAACG